Molecule: ribosomal RNA, 96 nt
Filed under: uncultured bacterium
Lineage: Bacteria
Description: partial 16S ribosomal RNA
Source: RNAcentral
CCGCCCGUCACAGCACGAGAGCUGUUUGUACCCAAAAUCCCUUUAGCUAACUCGCAAGAGAGGCGAGGGCCUAAGGUGCGGGUAGUGAUUGUGCUG